UUUCAUGCAAAUAUGGAGUGAAUUUUCUAGAGUAUUACUUGUGGUUUGCAAUUAUAUUAAGUAACUUUUUCUUAACACUCACCACAUACACACACACACUCACACUCACAUCCACAUUCACACUCACUCUCACUCUCACACUCACACUCACACUCACACUCACACUCACACUCACACUCACACUCACACUCACACUCACUCACACACACUCACUCUCACACUCAGACACACACACAUAUACACUCACACUCACACACACUCACAUUCACACGAACACACACUCACCACACACACUAACACUAGUAUUGACACUCACACGCACAUACUCAUACACUCACACACGCUCACUCUCGCACAUUCACGCUCAUGCUCACAUUCACACUCA
Molecule: long non-coding RNA, 385 nt
Filed under: Amborella trichopoda
Lineage: Eukaryota; Viridiplantae; Streptophyta; Magnoliopsida; Amborellales; Amborellaceae
Description: long non-coding RNA (ATRI_LNC005424)
Source: RNAcentral